UUGAAUAAACUUGUCUGGGUUGUUGCUGGUCCUUAGGGAUAUGUGCACACCUUGGCAUUUAAAAUCUUAUAACCACUUGUGCAUUUUUGUAGACCUAGAGAUAUCUCUUGAGAAGGACUCGGUUCAAAGAUUGCAAUAAUGAAAUAAUGCUUUCUUUACAUUUCUGGUCUAUGAAUUUAUACACUUACUCCUAACAAAAUGAGUGUUGGCUUUAUAUUAUAAAUGUA
This 227-nucleotide unclassified non-coding RNA is filed under the name uncultured Entolomataceae. RNAcentral's name for it is "sequence contains ITS1". The record is from RNAcentral. Lineage: Eukaryota; Fungi; Basidiomycota; Agaricomycetes; Agaricales; Entolomataceae.